UGCGCAGGCGGGUUUGUAAGUCAGUGGUGAAAUCCUGCCGCUUAACGGUAGAAUUGCCAUUGAUACUGCGAAUCUUGAGUAUGGUUGAGGUUGGCGGAAUGUGUAGUGUAGCGGUGAAAUGCAUAGAUAUUACACAGAACUCCGAUUGCGAAGGCAGCUUACUAAGCCAUAACUGACGCUGAGGCACGAAAGCGUGGGGAGCGAACAGGAUUAGAUACCCUGGUAGUCC
This 229-nucleotide ribosomal RNA is filed under the name uncultured bacterium. Its description in RNAcentral is "partial 16S ribosomal RNA". It matches the Rfam family "Bacterial small subunit ribosomal RNA", at positions 568 to 796 of the family's 1533-position model. The record is from RNAcentral.